UGCGUAGACGGUUAUGUAAGUCGGGUGUGAGAGCCCCGGGCUCAACCUGGGAAUUGCAUUCGAGACUGCAUAGCUAGGGUGCGGAAGAGGGAAGCGGAAUUUCCGGUGUAGCGGUGAAAUGCGUAGAUAUCGGAAGGAACACCAGUGGCGAAAGCGGCUUCCUGGUCCAGCACCGACGUUCAGGCACGAAAGCGUGGGGAGCAAACAGGAUUAGAUACCCUGGUAGUCCACGCCAUAAACGAUGAGAACUAGACGUUGAGAGGGUAAGCCUCGCAGUGUCGUAGCUAACGCGCUAAGUUCUCCGCCUGGGGAGUACGGCCGCAAGGUUGAA
This 331-nucleotide ribosomal RNA is filed under the name uncultured bacterium. RNAcentral's name for it is "bacterial SSU rRNA". It matches the Rfam family "Bacterial small subunit ribosomal RNA", at positions 568 to 898 of the family's 1533-position model. The record is from RNAcentral.